Cygnus olor (mute swan) is the source of this 3270-nucleotide RNA transcript. It is a transcript of the gene named MRE11 homolog, double strand break repair nuclease, with no coding region annotated. The transcript is spliced from 21 exons. The record is from RefSeq and is a predicted model, not a curated record. Lineage: Eukaryota; Metazoa; Chordata; Aves; Anseriformes; Anatidae.
GGGCCCGCGUUAGGCCCAGGGUGAGGGCGCGUUCGGCUCCCCUCGGCCCCCCCUUUCGGCUCCCUUCGGCCCCCUUCGGCCCCCUUCGGCCCCCUUCGGCCCCCCUUCGGCUCCUCUCGGCUCCCCUCGGUUCUCCUCAGCUCCCCGGCCGUGUGAGGGGGCGGGCGGCGAGGGCGGACGUCAGGUUUGCACAGAAUCCGUGAAAACAGAAGGGAACUCUGUGCCCUGCCUCGCUGCGCUGUGCCCGGAGCCCUGUGGUGAGGCGUGCUGGCAGCAAGAUGAGCGCCCUCAGCUCGCAGGAUGAUGAAGAUACCUUUAAAAUACUGAUUGCUACUGAUAUUCAUCUUGGCUACUUGGAGAAGGACCCAGUGCGUGGAAAUGACACGUUUGUAACUUUUAAUGAAAUCUUGGAGCAGGCUCAAAAAAAUGAAGUGGACUUUGUUUUAUUAGGUGGGGACCUCUUUCAUGACAACAAACCUUCCAGGAAAACAAUACAUUCUUGUUUAGAGUCCCUGAGGAAAUACUGCAUGGGUGAUCGUCCUAUUCACUUUGAGAUUUUGAGUGAUCAGGCAGUUAAUUUUCAAUAUAGCAAGUUUCCAUGGGUGAACUACCAAGAUGGAAAUCUCAACAUUUCUAUUCCAAUUUUUAGUAUUCAUGGCAAUCACGAUGAUCCAACAGGGGCAGAUGCACUGUGUGCAUUGGAUAUUUUAAGCUGUGCAGGAUUGGUGAAUCACUUCGGGCGUUCAACUUCUGUGGAGAAAAUAGAUAUUAGCCCCAUUUUAUUGCGCAAGGGUGGAACAAAAAUUGCUCUGUAUGGCUUAGGAGCCAUUCCAGACGAGAGGUUGUAUCGUAUGUUUGUCAAUAAACAAGUAACCAUGCUGAGACCAAAGGAAGAUGAGGACAGUUGGUUUAACUUGUUUGUGAUUCAUCAAAACAGGAGCAAACAUGGAGCCACCAACUACAUUCCAGAGCAGUUUUUGGAUGACUUUAUUAAUCUUGUUGUGUGGGGUCAUGAACAUGAGUGUAAAAUAGCUCCAGUCCCAAAUGAACAGCAAAAUUUCUAUGUUUCUCAGCCAGGAAGUUCGGUGGUGACAUCUCUGUCCCCUGGAGAAGCUGUGAAGAAACACAUCGGUUUGCUGCAUGUUAAAGGGAAAAAAAUGAAAAUGCACAAGAUUGCUCUAGAAACAGUGCGAACUUUCUACCUGGAGGAUGUUGUUCUAGCUGAUCAUCCAGAUCUUUUUAAUCCUGACAAUCCUAAAGUAACUCAGGCAAUACAAGCAUUCUGCAUGGAAAAGGUUGAAAUGAUGCUGGAUAACGCAGAAAGAGAACGCCUAGGAAAUCCACGCCAGCCGGAAAAGCCUCUCAUAAGAUUACGAGUCGAUUAUACAGGUGGCUUUGAGCCAUUCAGCAUCUUUCGUUUUAGCCAGAAGUACGUGGAUAAGGUGGCUAACCCAAAAGACAUCAUACACUUCUUCAGACGUCGUGAGCAAAAAGCGAAAAAUGGAAGCAGUAUCAAUUUUGGAGACCUGGUCAGCAGACCUGUUUCUGAGGGGAUGACGCUGAGAGUGGAAGACCUCGUAAAGCAGUAUUUUCAGACAGCAGAGAAGAAAGUACAGCUUUCACUUCUAACGGAAAGAGGAAUGGGAGAAGCAGUGCAGGAGUUUGUGGACAAAGAGGAGAAAGAUGCUAUAGAAGAGCUUGUGAAAUUUCAACUAGAAAAAACACAGAGGUUUCUUAAGGAGCGUCACAUUGAUGCAGUGGAAGAAAAAAUAGAUGAGGAGGUGCGAAAAUUUAGGGAGUGUAGAAGAAAAAACGCCGAAGAGGAGGAUGAGGAAGUUCGUGAGGCAAUGACCAGGGCUAGAGCUCACAGAUCUGAAGACGCAGUUCUUGUGUCAGCCUCCAGUGAUGAAGAGCUCAUGGAUACAGGGGCGAAGGCCUCUGGUGAUUCAGAUGAUGACCUUCCUGCAACAGUGACUCGAGGAAGGGGUCGGGGGAGAGGUAGGGCAAGAGGUGCAAGAGGACAAAAUUCAACAGUAAGAGGCUCGUCUCGAAGGGGAAGAGGAAACACUAGCCAAGAGUCAGCUACUAGCAGCAGAACCUACAAGUCUGUCCCUGCCAAGAAUAAGUCGAUCAUGGAUGCCUUUAAGUCUUUGAAAACAGAGCCCUUCCAGAAUUCAUCUAAAUCUUUCUCUGAGGAUAUUAUAGAUGAUGACUCAGAUCUAGAAGACAUUCAUAUCACUCCUUCUUCCAAAGUAAAUCAAAGGUUCUCAACUACAUCUUCAUUUAGUAAAAGAGGUUCACAAAGCCAAACAACAUCAAGAGGAGUUGAUUUUGAGUCAGAUGAGGAUGAUCCAUUCCAAAGCGCCACGACAUCACGCCGAAAUAGAUGAAUGCUGCCUCACUGUAGAGGAGAGACCACGAAAGUUAGUGAAGAAAAUGGAAAGUAGUAUGCAGGGCAUACUCCAUAUGACGUUUCUCUGUAUCUUGCCUCAGCCAUCCUAAAAUGUCAUCACUGUUUUUCCAAAUGUUUCUCCAAAUGAGACUUUUAAGAGAAGAUCCUGUACUCACCCUGGGGGAACCACACCUUCUGUUGAAGGAGCCAAGACCUAGGCACGCUUCUCCUUGCCCCUUUCCCCACUCCCAUAAAAAUGAUGAUAUGCAGCUGCAGCCUUUAGAGUUAAUCAAGGAAUAGGCUAGAAGUGUUCGUCAGCUAACACCCCAGCGUGUCAGAGAAAUACCAAAUACAAUGGGUAACUGAAGCCAUACUUCUGCAUUUUUAUGUUCUCCAUCAAAGAGAUGGGAUUGGGCAUUUAUGUUGCUCUGGCUCUUGCUGAGCAUGACUGUCGUUACUUUGUCUGCAUAUAUGCUGUAGCAGAGCAUGUCCCUUGAGCUUCCUGAAGACUUCCAUAAAAACAAUCAAGACCAUCAAAUUUCUAGCGUAGAGCUCAGUAACUUACAAAGGAGUGCAGUUGCAUACUGCAUCAGGAAAUUUGAUGUCUGACCCUUUCAUUGAGGGCUAUCAAAGCUCUUAUAAUAUUACCUAUGCAAUUAAAAAGCUGCUGUAAAUGCCCUCCAGGAUGGGGGUUGUGGUUUUUGUUUCGUUUUUAAUAAAACUAUUUCUGUUAAGUAAAUUCUGAAAGUCAAUUGUAUGGAGUGCUUUAAUCUGAGGGAUUGAGUUUUUAAAAAUAUUGUGGUUCUUCAUGUUGCUAUCCAAAUUAAACCUGUUUUGUUACUAAAAGAAAAAAAAAAUAAAUCACCCCGUUUAAAAUU